RNA transcript from Solanum stenotomum, 1479 nucleotides. RefSeq lists it as uncharacterized. The transcript has 3 exons. The record is from RefSeq and is a predicted model, not a curated record. NCBI's taxonomy places the organism in Eukaryota, Viridiplantae, Streptophyta, Magnoliopsida, Solanales, Solanaceae.
UUAUGAUCUUCCUCAUAUAUCCUUCCCUUUUCUCUGAAAACCCUAAUUUCAACUUUUUUUUUUGUAUCCUCUAAGAUGACAAGAUCAGUUUAGGGGAUUGUUGAAGCAAUAAGCUUAUGUGUAGAUGUAAAGAAAAAGAUGGAAGGAAAUACAUGUGACAUCAAUCACUUGGAUUCAGAUGUGCUUUUGCCUCCGCGUAAACGGCUUCUAGCAGGAUUGAAAAAACAGAAUUUUGAUGAUAAUCCAUGUAGUCCAUCCUCUUCUACUGAUGAUGUUACAGAUUUUGAGUUCGAUAUCCGUCUUAAUAACCUGUUGAAGUUUCACUCGGAUGAUUGUAAUCGUUCCAUUGAGGAGAUUGUCGAGGCCUCGAGAGUGGCAGCUUUAAAAGCUGUUGAGCUUGCAAAAGCUGCAAGAGCUGUUGCUGAAGAGAAAGCUGUGAAAGCAUCAGAGGCCAUGGCUGCUGCUAAGAGUGCUAUGGAGUUGGUUGCUACUGUUUCUGGUGAGGUUACAGAUAGAGACAAGUACUCGAAGAAGAAGAAGAAUAAGUAUAAAGGGAUCAAGAAUUGUACAACGGAUGAAGAUUUAGCUCGGACGUUAAGUAGGACAAUAAACAGCUCUCCAAGACUUUCGAAGAACUCAACCUCUGACUCAAGAAAUCAAAAACAUAAGAGGCUUAAAAGAUCUUCUCCUUCCGAAAAUGCUAAGCUUCAGAAUGGAAGUACGUCGUGGGAAGCAAAUCGACCUUCCACGAGCAAUGGGAUUGAUAUUGCUGGAAAUAAGGCAUCAAAUGGUCCUAGCCAGGAGAAAGAACUAAUUAGAGUAGACUUGAGCCUAGCGAAAUUCAACAAAGCGGAUCUCAGAAAGAUGGAAAAUGGCAAAGGAGAACCAAUGAACUCAAAGGAGGAAUUCGGGGAAUCACCAAAUGAUACAUGUAAUGUUGACAAAAAGAAGGGGCGGAUGAAGCAGAAAACGUUACCCCUCAGUAAUUGCAGUCUCAGGGAUAAAGUGAACCCAAAAAGGACAUGAAUUUCUAAAGUUCAUCGUCACCGGAUGAGAAGAUCAACAAAGUUACUGCUAUUAAUGAGCCUAUGUUUCCAGUUGAUAGGUCAUCUACAUUGAAGUGCCAAACUUUUAAGGCAUCCACUUGCGUUGAACAAUAAGUUGAUGCAAUCACAGUCUUCGUAUUUUAGUUUCAAGUGAGGCAGCUACCAUGAUGGGGCUUAUAGUCUGAGGAUUUUGUUAGCUUCUGGAGUUCCAUUUCCAGAUACUUUUUGUUAGCAGGAGAUGUCUGGAGACUAAUUUAUAUCUCUUCAUUUCAUUAAUCUCAAUGUGUAACAUUAUUUCUGAUGUAGAUAUGUUAAAGAAGUAGCACUAUUUGUUUUUUGGUGUCUUAAGAGGAUUAUAAACAAAUACACCAUUAAUCCAUUGUAAGCAUGAUGUUUUUUCUUGAAUGAGUAAUUCAAUCUCUUCAGAGUUUGU